AGCGAACGUUAGCGGCAGGCUUAACACAUGCAAGUCGAGCGAGAAAGAGGGUUUCGGCCCUCGAGUAAAGCGGCGUACGGGUGAGUAACACGUGGGUAAUCUGCCCUCCGGUGGGGGACAACAACCCGAAAGGGUUGCUAAUACCGCAUUCGUCGGCGAGCUCUGCGGAGCACGUCGGGAAAGGUGCCCUCUACUUGUAAGGUACCGCCGGAGGAGGAGCCCGCGUCCCAUCAGCUAGUUGGUAGGGAACGGCCUACCAAGGCAAAGACGGGUAGCUGGUCUGAGAGGAUGAUCAGCCACACUGGGACUGAGACACGGCCCAGACUCCUACGGGAGGCAGCA
This 342-nucleotide ribosomal RNA is filed under the name uncultured bacterium. Its description in RNAcentral is "bacterial SSU rRNA". It matches the Rfam family "Bacterial small subunit ribosomal RNA", at positions 29 to 353 of the family's 1533-position model. The record is from RNAcentral.